UACGUAGGGUGCAAGCGUUGUUCGGAAUCAUUGGGCGUAAAGCGCGCGUAGGCUGUUAAUUAAGUCGGGUGUGAAAUCCCUGGGCUCAACCGAGGAAGUGCAUCCGAAACUAAUUAGCUAGAAGACGGUAGAGGAAGGUGGAAUUCCUAGUGUAGAGGUGAAAUUCGUAGAUAUUAGGAGGAAUACCGGUGGCGAAGGCGGCCUUCUGGGCCGUUCUUGACGCUGAGGCGCGAAAGCGUGGGUAGCAAACAGG
Molecule: ribosomal RNA, 253 nt
Filed under: uncultured bacterium
Lineage: Bacteria
Description: partial 16S ribosomal RNA
Rfam family: Bacterial small subunit ribosomal RNA
Source: RNAcentral